GCGAUUAUGGCGGAAUUGGUAGACGCGCUAGUUUCAGGUACUAGUUGGGGCAACUCAGUGGAAGUUCGAGUCUUCUUAAUCGCACCA
RNAcentral lists this transfer RNA (87 nucleotides) under Lactobacillus sp. RNAcentral's name for it is "tRNA-Leu". It matches the Rfam family "tRNA". From Rfam's summary of the family: Transfer RNA (tRNA) molecules are approximately 80 nucleotides in length. Their secondary structure includes four short double-helical elements and three loops (D, anti-codon, and T loops). The record is from RNAcentral. Lineage: Bacteria; Bacillati; Bacillota; Bacilli; Lactobacillales; Lactobacillaceae.